UUGCAUAUCAAUAAGCGGAGGAAAAGAAACUAACAAGGAUUCCCCUAGUAACUGCGAGUGAAGCGGGAAAAGCUCAAAUUUAAAAUCUGAUAGUCUUUGGCUGUCCGAGUUGUAAUCUAGAGAAGCACUAUCCGUGCUGGACCAUGUGUAAGUCUCCUGGAAUGGGGCGUCAUAGAGGGUGAGAAUCCCGUCUUCAACAUGGACUACCAGUGCAUUGUGAUAUGCUCUCAAAGAGUCGAGUUGUUUGGGAAUGCAGCUCUAAAUGGGUGGUAAAUUCCAUCUAAAGCUAAAUAUUGGCGAGAGACCGAUAGCGAACAAGUACCGUGAGGGAAAGAUGAAAAGAACUUUGGAAAGAGAGUUAAACAGUACGUGAAAUUGUUGAAAGGGAAACGCUUAAAGUCAGUCGCAUUGGUCAGGGAUCAACCUUGCUUUUUUGCUUGGUGUAUUUUCUGAUUAAUGGGUCAGCAUCAAUUUUGAUCAGUGGAAAAAGGCUGAGGGAAUGUGGCAUCUUUUGAUGUGUUAUAGCUCUCUGUCAUAUACAUUGGUUGGGAUUGAGGAACUCAGCAUGCCGCAAGGCCGGGUUUUAACCACGUUCAUGCUUAGGAUGCUGGCAUAAUGGCUUUAAUCGACCCGUCUUGAAACACGGACCA
RNAcentral lists this ribosomal RNA (650 nucleotides) under Entoloma murrayi. Its description in RNAcentral is "partial large subunit ribosomal RNA". It matches the Rfam family "Eukaryotic large subunit ribosomal RNA", at positions 36 to 668 of the family's 3401-position model. Lineage: Eukaryota; Fungi; Basidiomycota; Agaricomycetes; Agaricales; Entolomataceae. The record is from RNAcentral.